AGCGAACGCUGGCGGCAGGCUUAACACAUGCAAGUCGAGCGCCCCGCAAGGGGAGCGGCAGACGGGAGAGUAACACGUGGGAACAUACCUUUUGGUUCGGAACAACUGAGGGAAACUUCAGCUAAUACCGGAUAAGCCCUUACGGGGAAAGAUUUAUCGCCGAAAGAUUGGCCCGCGUCUGAUUAGCUAGUUGGUGAGGUAACGGCUCACCAAGGCGACGAUCAGUAGCUGGUCUGAGAGGAUGAUCAGCCUCACUGGGACUGAGACACGGCCCAGACUCCUACGGGAGGCAGCAGUGGGGAAUAUUGGACAAUGGGGGCAACCCUGAUCCAGCCAUGCCGCGUGAGUGAUGAAGGCCUUAGGGUUGUAAAGCUCUUUUGCCCGGGAAGAUAAUGACGGUACCGGGAGAAUAGCCCCGGCUAACUUCGUG
Molecule: ribosomal RNA, 430 nt
Filed under: uncultured bacterium
Lineage: Bacteria
Description: partial 16S ribosomal RNA
Rfam family: Bacterial small subunit ribosomal RNA
Source: RNAcentral